This 407-nucleotide ribosomal RNA is filed under the name uncultured bacterium. Its description in RNAcentral is "bacterial SSU rRNA". It matches the Rfam family "Bacterial small subunit ribosomal RNA", at positions 355 to 776 of the family's 1533-position model. The record is from RNAcentral.
UGGGGAAUAUUGCGCAAUGGGGGGAACCCUGACGCAGCAACGCCGCGUGAAGGAAGAAGUAUUUCGGUAUGUAAACUUCUAUCGACAGGGAAGAAAUAAAUGACGGUACCUGAGUAAGAAGCCCUGGCUAAUUACGUGCCAGCAGCCGCGGUAAUACGUAAGGGGCAAGCGUUAUCCGGAUUUACUGGGUGUAAAGGGUGAGUAGGCGGUCUGGCAAGUCAUAUGUGAAAAACUGAGGCUUAACCACAGAGGUGCAUAAGAAACUGUCGGACUAGAGUGCAGGAGAGGCAAGCGGAAUUCCAAGUGUAGCGGUGAAAUGCGUAGAUAUUUGGAAGAACACCGGUGGCGAAGGCGGCUUGCUGGACUGAAACUGACGCUGAGUCACGAAAGCGUGGGGAGCGAACAGG